Molecule: ribosomal RNA, 219 nt
Filed under: uncultured bacterium
Lineage: Bacteria
Description: partial 16S ribosomal RNA
Rfam family: Bacterial small subunit ribosomal RNA
Source: RNAcentral
GAUGAACGCCGGCGGUGUGCCUAAUACAUGCAAGUCGAACGCGUUGGCCCAACUGAUUGAACGUGCUUGCACGGACUUGACGUUGGUUUACCAGCGAGUGGCGGACGGGUGAGUAACACGUAGGUAACCUGCCCCAAAGAGGGGGAUAACAUCCGGAAACGGGUGCUAAUACCGCAUAGUUUUCUUGAUCGCAUGAUUGAGAAAGGAAGACGGCCUUUG